Molecule: long non-coding RNA, 595 nt
Organism: Solanum stenotomum
Lineage: Eukaryota; Viridiplantae; Streptophyta; Magnoliopsida; Solanales; Solanaceae
Exons: 3
Source: RefSeq, a predicted model, not a curated record
UCUUGAUGAAGAAAUUGAAGUUGGAAAAUCAAAUUUUGAUGUAUUGCUUUGGUGGAAAGUUAACUCACCUAGAUUUCCACUUCUUUCUGAGAUGGCUCGUGAUGUGUUGGCGAUUCCCGUUUCAAGUGUGGCGUCUGAAUGUGCCUUUAGUACUGGAGGGCGCAUACUUGAUUCAUUUAGGAGUUCAUUAACUCCUAAAUUGGUACAAGCUCUAGUGUGCCUUCAAGAUUGGCUUCGGAGUGAGCCACAACCCAUAAGUAUUGAGGAAGAUUUAGAUUUUCUUGAGCAACUUGAAGAAGAUUUGGCUAAACUUGGAAAAGAACUUUGCAUUGAUGACAUGUAAAAUUGGAGGUUUCCUUCACUAACUCUACUAAAGGAGAAGGAAGAUUUCAUCAUGCCUCGACUUCAUGAUUCUAAUGCUCGAUCACCUGUUUGGAAUCACUAUGAAAAGCUUGAAGAAAAAGAAGAUGGAUCGUGGAUAGUAAAAUGUGUUCAUUGUGGCCGUGUUACUUAUUACCAUUCACACAAAAUUGGGACUGCCUCCUUAAGGAAGCAUGUUAAGCAUUGUUUGGAAAAUAGGAACCAGAAUCAUCAA